AGACCCGAAACCCGGUGAUCUAGCCAUGGGCAGGUUGAAGGUUGGGUAACACUAACUGGAGGACCGAACCGACUAAUGUUGAAAAAUUAGCGGAUGACCUGUGGCUGGGGGUGAAAGGCCAAUCAAACCGGGAGAUAGCUGGUUCUCCCCGAAAGCUAUUUAGGUAGCGCCUCGUGAAUUCAUCUCCGGGGGUAGAGCACUGUUUCGGCUAGGGGGCCAUCCCGGCUUACCAACCCGAUGCAAACUGCGAAUACCGGAGAAUGUUAUCACGGGAGACACACGGCGGGUGCUAACGUCCGUCGUGAAGAGGGAAACAACCCAGACCGCCAGCUAAGGUCCCAAAGUCAUGGUUAAGUGGGAAACGAUGUGGGAAGGCCCAGACAGCCAGGAUGUUGGCUUAGAAGCAGCCAUCAUUUAAAGAAAGCGUAAUAGCUCACUGGUCGAGUCGGCCUGCGCGGAAGAUGUAACGGGGCUAAACCAUGCACCGAAGCUGCGGCAGCGAACGUAUCACCCAAGACAACUUUACGGAGUUGACGAUUGACGGAGCGAAGCGACGUCAAAGCGUUCAUUAAAGUCGAGUUGGCUUAGGGAUACGUUCGUUGGGUAGGGGAGCGUUCUGUAAGCCUGUGAAGGUGUGUCGUGAGGCAUGCUGGAGGUAUCAGAAGUGCGAAUGCUGACAUAAGUAACGAUAAAGCGGGUGAAAAGCCCGCUCGCCGGAAGACCAAGGGUUCCUGUCCAACGUUAAUCGGGGCAGGGUGAGUCGACCCCUAAGGCGAGGCCGAAAGGCGUAGUCGAUGGGAAACGGGUUAAUAUUCCCGUACUUGGUGUUACUGCGAAGGGGGGACGGAGAAGGCUAUGUUGGCCGGGCGACGGUUGUCCCGGUUUAAGCGUGUAGGUGUGUGUUCCAGGUAAAUCCGGUUCACUUUAACACUGAGGCGUGACGACGAGGCACUACGGUGCUGAAGCAACAAAUGCCCUGCUUCCAGGAAAAGCCUCUAAGCAU
This 1003-nucleotide ribosomal RNA is filed under the name Salmonella enterica. RNAcentral's name for it is "partial 23S ribosomal RNA". It matches the Rfam family "Bacterial large subunit ribosomal RNA", at positions 711 to 1629 of the family's 2925-position model. The record is from RNAcentral. Lineage: Bacteria; Pseudomonadati; Pseudomonadota; Gammaproteobacteria; Enterobacterales; Enterobacteriaceae. RNAcentral also lists the same sequence under 3 other names.